GACGAACGCUGGCGGCGGGCCUAACACAUGCAAGUCGAACGGAAAGGCCCUGCUUUUGUGGGGUGCUCGAGUGGCGAACGGGUGAGUAACACGUGAGUAACCUGCCCUUGACUUUGGGGUAACUUCAGGUAACAGGGGCUAAUACCGGAUAGGAGCUCCUGCUGCAUGUUGGGGGUUGGAAAGUGUCGGCGGUUGGGGAUGGGCUCGCGGCUUAUCAGCUUGUUGGUGGGGUAGUGGCUUACCAAGGCUUUGGCGGGUAGCCGGCCUGAGAGGGUGACCGGCCAAAUUGGGACUGAGAUACGGCCCAGACUCCUACGGGAGGCAGCAGUGGGGAAUAUUGCACAAUGGGCGGAAGCCUGAUGCAGCAACGCCGCGUGCGGGAUGACGGCCUUCGGGCUGUAAACCGCUUUCGCCUGUGACGAAGCGUGAGUGACGGUAAUGGGUAAAGAAGCACCGGCUAACUACGUG
RNAcentral lists this ribosomal RNA (468 nucleotides) under uncultured bacterium. RNAcentral's name for it is "partial 16S ribosomal RNA". It matches the Rfam family "Bacterial small subunit ribosomal RNA", at positions 28 to 507 of the family's 1533-position model. The record is from RNAcentral.